Molecule: long non-coding RNA, 233 nt
Filed under: Salvia miltiorrhiza (redroot sage)
Lineage: Eukaryota; Viridiplantae; Streptophyta; Magnoliopsida; Lamiales; Lamiaceae
Description: long non-coding RNA (SMIL_LNC002763)
Source: RNAcentral
AUUUUUUUCAAAUCCUUGAGAUAUAACAGGAUUAAUUAUAAAUGCACAUUUAGCUGAUGCAAAUUAAAUCAACAGUCUAAAAAAUUCAGGAUUAAGGUGCUGUUAUCCUUCUUUUCCAAAAAAAAGAGAAAAAAAAUACAGAAUUGCUUUUAUCUUAGUUUCUUUUUGUGCGAGGCAAUUGAUCUAGCCUUCAGCCAUCAACAUUACACAAAAUAGAUCAAAUUACAAUCAGG